CUUGACCGAGCCCAGCCAGAGCGGCCCGCCGUCGCCCCGGUCCUGCCCGUACGUGGCCAGCAGUGCCUGUGCCUC
Molecule: non-coding RNA, 75 nt
Organism: Micromonospora aurantiaca ATCC 27029
Lineage: Bacteria; Bacillati; Actinomycetota; Actinomycetes; Micromonosporales; Micromonosporaceae
Rfam family: ASpks TB sRNA
Source: Rfam